GAGUUUGAUCAUGGCUCAGAAUGAACGCUGGCGGCAGGCCUAACACAUGCAAGUCGAACGGAGUUAUAUUGUAGCUUGCUAUGGUAUAACUUAGUGGCAGACGGGUGAGUAAUGUAUAGGAAUCUACCUAGUAGUACGGAAUAAUUGUUGGAAACGGCAACUAAUACCGUAUACGCCCUACGGGGGAAAAAUUUAUUGCUAUUAGAUGAGCCUAUAUUAGAUUAGUUAGUUGGUGAGGUAAAGGCUUACCAAGACAAUGAUCUAUAGCUGAUCUGAGAGGAUGAUCAGCCACACUGGAACUGAGAUACGGUCCAGACUCCUACGGGAGGCAGCAGUGGGGAAUAUUGGACAAUGGGCGAAAGCCUGAUCCAGCCAUGCCGCAUGAGUGAAGAAGGCCUUCGGGUUGUAAAGCUCUUUUAGUGAGGAAGAUAAUGACGGUACUCACAGAAGAAGUCCUGGCUAACUCCGUGCCAGCAGCCGCGGUAAUACGGAGAGGGCUAGCGUUAUUCGGAAUCAUUGGGCGUAAAGGGCGCGUAGGCGGGUUAGUAAGUUAAAAGUGAAAUCCCAAGGCUCAACCUUGGAACUGCUUUUAAAACUGCUAGUCUAGAGAUUGAAAGAGGAUAGAGGAAUUCCUAGUGUAGAGAUGAAAUUCGUAAAUAUUAGGAGGAACACCAGUGGCGAAAGGCGUCUAUCUGGUUCAAAUCUGACGCUGAGGC
Molecule: ribosomal RNA, 716 nt
Filed under: uncultured Hyphomicrobiales bacterium
Lineage: Bacteria; Pseudomonadati; Pseudomonadota; Alphaproteobacteria; Hyphomicrobiales
Description: bacterial SSU rRNA
Rfam family: Bacterial small subunit ribosomal RNA
Source: RNAcentral